This is a non-coding RNA of Pelobates cultripes (western spadefoot toad), 207 nucleotides long. The record is from the annotation of a GenBank genome assembly. Lineage: Eukaryota; Metazoa; Chordata; Amphibia; Anura; Pelobatidae.
GGAUGACAGAAUGAGAGGUGGGGUGACAGGGUGAGAGGGAGGUGACAGGGUGUGACAGGUGGGGUGGCAGGGGGUGACAGGGUGAGGUGACAGAGUGAGAGGGGAAUGACAGGGCAAGGUGGCAGGGUGAGAGGUGGGCUGGAAGGGGGAUGACAGGAUGAGAGGUGGGGUGGCAGGGUGACAGGUGGGGUGGAAGUGUGAGAGAGG